Phoenix dactylifera (date palm) is the source of this 3375-nucleotide non-coding RNA. NCBI's taxonomy places the organism in Eukaryota, Viridiplantae, Streptophyta, Magnoliopsida, Arecales, Arecaceae. The record is from RefSeq and is a predicted model, not a curated record.
CAGGUCACCUAAUAAUUUCUUUUAGUUGAGAGGAUUUUUUUUGGGUGGUGGAGACUCCUAAAAUUUGUCCCCUUUUAAUGCAUUUACCCCGCCGAGCUUAAGAUUUUUGAUGUAAAAAAGUAUUUUUGUUGGAACGGUGGGUCGUUUCAUUGAUUUCUCUUAAAAAAAUUAUUUCAAUUGAAAUUUGGUUUUUCACAAUCCACGUUUUGAGUUCGUUAUCCUAGUCUGCGGCUUUGGGUAUGGUCUGGGCAGCGGGGAUAAUAUGAUAUUAUGACGCUUCAAGCCUUCAACACAGCCUUGGGCGGUCGGUGUACCUUUUGCCUCCAAACAAACAUAUCUAUGGGCACCGAUGUUUCUAAUUUAUGUUAUCGGCCAGCGGGCGAUCAAUAGAUGCCACUGUAGCCUCUAGUGGGCCGGAAGGAAUUGCGAACGACAGAGAAUCUGCUUCCAAAUCAAAGAAACAACCCACCAUUCUUCUUCCUUUUUAGACCCUAAUGUGGACCGAAUUCAUCGCUUUCUGCAGGUGGGUAUAUCAGGACAUGAUUGCUGAUCCCUUAUGGUGAAUUUUUCAUUACUGAAAACAAUUCACUUCUGAAGGCAUCUGAUACAAGUUGUGGAUCAACUGUCUUGUUGUUUUACGCUCUAAUGGGCGUUUGUUAUGCGUUUCUACAUGAGAGCCUCGCCUAGGACUAUGAUACAAAGUAUGGGCAAAAGCGAUAUCGCCUCAAAGAUGCCAUUCCUACUUUCCCUACUAGUGUUGCAGGGCCAAUUUUGACUAAUGGAAAUAUAUCUAUAUGUCAUGAGAAAACGCGGGCAUAAUGUUCAGGUCCACCAUUAAUUCUUUUCGAUAUCAUUGACUAAAUUUUUAUCUGCAGGACUGAAUCACCAAUCCUUGAGCAUAACUGUUUGCACCCAACUUAUCAUGACCUUGGUUUCAGGUAUUGUUAGGCUUUCUGGAAAGCUAAGACAUAGGCCUUUUAUGAAGAGCCCAAAACCCAGUUCUGCCAUUUUGAAGUUCAAAACUUAGCAGAAACGGAGAAGUCCGAAUCUAUCAAGAAGUUUACUGCAGCCUAGAUUCGGUUUUCAGCUUGUAUCUAGAGUUCUAGAAGUCCCAAGCCCAGGUGCGUUGGAAAGCUGAGAACGAGAUCUAAAACUUUCGUGAGGUUCUAACUCCAAAGUGUAUCGUUUUGGUGCUCUAAAUCUAGUUGGGAGUCGAGUAAUAAAAUCAGCCUAGAAUUCCGGAUUUCGGCAGCAGAUACGGGGGAAAUCUGUUUUAAAAUUCAAAAAAGGAGAAUCAGUUGGGAGAAGUGGGGGGAUGGCCAGCAGAUAACGAAGAAGAAAGCUCAGACAAUCUGGAAUUUCGAGAGGAAGAAAAGCCAGAAAUUCUAGGAGGAAAAAAAAAAUCAGAGAAAGAAAAAGAACUCUGUAUUUGCAAAAAUCCUCCGCUCCGUUCUUUCUCCCAGAAUUCCAGCUUUUUUUUUUCCUCCUAGAAUUCCUGGCUUUUUGGGGUGAUUUUUGGGUUCAUUUUGUGGACAUUGCUUCGAGAUGAGCUUGCUAAAAGGCCGGAGGACUUUUCUGUUGAUAAGCUGCAGGUUUUUUUCUCAUGACUUACCACACAUUCUUUUUGCAGAGACUUGACAGUCAUGAGCAGGCCUACAUAUGGUUUCUCUGUUGUGUAAUGUUACAGUCUCUCCUUGACCUUGCUUUGCGCAGCACUGCCUUCAGGUCCAUGUCAUGAGGACUUCUGUUGUGUGGAAAGAGCCUCAUUGCUCAAGAGACUGACAACACUUGGAUUUGGAAUGUGCUUCUCCACUGCAUAGAGACAAACUUGUUCCUGAUUGUGAUGACCAGCUUGAGGCAUUGAGCAUUGCGGGAUUGAGAACAUUCUGUCUGAGUUACAAGGUUCAAUGGCCAUUAUCACUUGUUAUUUUGAGAGAAGCUUUAACAUAGUCUCAGUUGAUUUGUCCAGGCCUGUUCCGGCCCAAAACUGUGUGGCAUGGCAAGUACAUCAAAUCGAGAAGCUGAAACCAGUAUGCUUCAAUAUGCAACAAUGCAACUGUUGAUACUGCCGAUCUAUAUACCCGAGCCAGAUGCUGCUGCUGGCUCUUUUGGAUCCGAAAGAUCAAAGCUGAGGAGAUCACAGAAUAGGAGCCAGCAAUCGAAGCUUGCAGCCGAGAACACCAUAAUUUAUGAUUCAGUCAUGUAUUAACCUCAGUUAUCAGGCUAAUGCAAAGAAUCCAGAUGGACAAUUUAGUUCUUUCACAUUUUGUGACUUGCAUUUGCUUCAUGUGUUGCAGGAAAUUUUACAAGGAAUUCACUGCGGAAAUUUUGUAAUGAUAAAUUUGCCCGAAAAUGUAGUUAUAUUUUAAAGACACUGACACAAUUCAGCUGAAUUAGUCAACCUUUUCCGUUGACAAUGUUUUCGGUUUUUGCUUUUUUUCCCCAUUUUUAAUCAACUUACACAGAGCAUAUUGCGACAUGUAAAAACAAGAGAUGGAUUAUUUGAUGAAUAUGUUUCUCCAUGCAAUCUUCACAGCAAGCUCAUUUCCGUUAUUUCUCAAAUGGCUUACUCAUGCCAUGCAUCACAGAUUCACAUACAUUCAUAAAAAUACCGUCAGGUUUCGGUCAGCUGGUAUCAAAGUAGGAUUUCUCUUUUACAUCUUGAGGAGUUUGGGUGCAACAGACAUGCCACAUACAUCUGAAAGUCAGGCUGUGAUGUAAACGUCCCGUGAAGAGAAUAAAAUAACUAAAUUUAUGAUGGAAACCAUUAUGGGGUCAUGGAUCAGCUGAAAACUACGAACUAGUAUAAUUCAGUGGUAACUCUUAAUAGGCGAACCUAAGCAGCCCCUAUUUGCAGCAACUUAUGGUUGAGGAGCUUUUUUUUCCUCCAUUAGCUGGUUAAACUAUUUAACCAGCUAAAUCAGGGUAAAGAAAUUACAGGCUUCGGUAAAAAAAAAAAUUCAAAAAUAAAAGGAAUAUGGCAUUUUUGUCUUGAGAAUGCAUGUACAUUUUCAGGCCCUGCAUGCUUGUGCUCAAGUAGCAGACAGGCAUGUUUGCUUGCUCACCAAGUCCCCCUUACCUACAGCACCCUGAUCAGCAUCCAUCCCCAGAGUCCGACGCUCAGACAGCAGGCACUGAUAUGAAAGUGCUAGCUGUGACCUUGCUUUUCACCACGCAAUGCAUUAUAUUCACUUCCAGAUGCUAUAUAAACAUGAAGUGCCAAGUUUGACGCCUUGCAAAUGAAGUUAUUACCUGCGUCAAAUCAUUCUAUUUAAUCACCACCUUGUUAUGGUUUUCAUUCGAGUUCUCCCUUUCACUGCUCCUAUUAUGGCUAGGAAUUCCAAAAUUGUUUCUUCCCAAAGCUCAUCCUAAGAC